RNAcentral lists this unclassified non-coding RNA (258 nucleotides) under Ascomycota sp. Its description in RNAcentral is "partial contains small subunit ribosomal RNA, internal transcribed spacer 1, and 5.8S ribosomal RNA". The stretch from base 1 to 47 matches the Rfam family "Eukaryotic small subunit ribosomal RNA", at positions 1785 to 1831 of the family's 1831-position model. Lineage: Eukaryota; Fungi; Ascomycota. The record is from RNAcentral.
AAAGUCGUAACAAGGUUUCCGUAGGUGAACCUGCGGAAGGAUCAUUACCUUUCAAUGCAGCAGUCUGGGGAGGGUGAGUCGCUCUUGCAGCCAUUCCCCUCUCGAUACUGCCUGUAUUACACCCUUGUCUCUCAAAUACUACUUGUUUCCUCGGCAGGCUUGCCUGCCGGUUGGAUCAACCUAUAACCCUUUUAAUUUUCAAUCAGCGUCUGAACAAGUUAAUAAUUACAACUUUCAACAACGGAUCUCUUGGUUCUG